UAGCCGCGGUAUAUUGACCGUGCGAAGGUAGCAUAAUAAUUAGGCCAUUAAUUGUGGUCUUGUAUGAAGGGUUGGACAAGGAAAAUCUUUCUUACUUAUAUUGUUGAACUUAAAUAACCAGUAAAAAUGCUGGUAUAUAGUAAAGGGACGAGAAGACCCUAUUAAGUUUUAUAUUUAUUUUUGUUUCUUGAUUGUUUAUAUCAUAUUAUAUAAUAUUUGGUUGGGGCGACUGGUGUAAAUGAACACAUUAUUGUAGGGAUUUUUAUUUUUUGAUCCAUUAUUAAUGAUUAAUAGAAUAAAUUACUAUAGGGAUAACAGCAUAAUUUAAUUUGAGAGUUCUUAUUGAUGAUUAAGUUUGUGACCUCGAUGUUGGAUUAAGAGUCCUCCCAGGUGUAGGUGUUUGGGUAGGCAGACUGUUCGUCUGUUAAAAUCUUACA
This 437-nucleotide ribosomal RNA is filed under the name Scolopendra hardwickei. RNAcentral describes it as "partial 16S ribosomal RNA". It matches the Rfam family "Bacterial large subunit ribosomal RNA", at positions 1928 to 2600 of the family's 2925-position model. The record is from RNAcentral. Lineage: Eukaryota; Metazoa; Arthropoda; Chilopoda; Scolopendromorpha; Scolopendridae.